Molecule: non-coding RNA, 899 nt
Filed under: Trichomonas vaginalis G3
Lineage: Eukaryota; Parabasalia; Trichomonadida; Trichomonadidae
Description: Eukaryotic small subunit ribosomal RNA
Rfam family: Eukaryotic small subunit ribosomal RNA
Source: Rfam by way of RNAcentral
AAUGAGAGCCAUCGGGGGUAGAUCUAUCUCAUGACGAGUGGUGGAAUACUUUGACUCAUGAGAGAGAAGCUGAGGCGAAGGCGUCUACCUAGAGGGUUUCUGUCGAUCAAGGGCGAGAGUAGGAGUAUCCAACAGGAUUAGAGACCCUGGUAGUUCUUACCUUAAACGAUGCCGACAGGAGUUUGUCAUUUGUUAAUGGCAGAAUCUUUGGAGAAAUCAUAGUUCUUGGGCUCUGGGGGAACUACGACCGCAAGGCUGAAACUUGAAGGAAUUGACGGAAGGGCACACCAGGGGUGGAGCCUGUGGCUUAAUUUGAAUCAACACGGGGAAACUUACCAGGACCAGAUGUUUUUUAUGACUGACAGGCUUCGGGUCUUUCAGGAUAUUGUUUUUGGUGGUGCAUGGCCGUUGGUGGUGCGUGGGUUGACCUGUCUAGCGUUGAUUCAGCUAACGAGCGAGAUUAUCGCCAAUUAUUUACUUUGCCGAAGUCCUUCGGUUAAAGUUCUAAUUGGGACUCCCUGCGAUUUUAGCAGGUGGAAGAGGGUAGCAAUAACAGGUCCGUGAUGCCCUUUAGAUGCUCUGGGCUGCACGCGUGCUACAAUGUUAGGAUCAAUAGGACUGCGAGCCUGAGAGGGUGCGCUACUCUUAUAAUCCCUAACGUAGUUGGGAUUGACGUUUGUAAUCAGCGUCAUGAACCAGGAAUCCCUUGUAAAUGUGUGUCAACAACGCACGUUGAAUACGUCCCUGCCCUUUGUACACACCGCCCGUCGCUCCUACCGAUUGGAUGACUCGGUGAAAUCACCGGAUGCUUACGAGCAGAAAGUGAUUAAAUCACGUUAUCUAGAGGAAGGAGAAGUCGUAACAAGGUAACGGUAGGUGAACCUGCCGUUGGAUCAGUU